Molecule: transfer RNA, 66 nt
Filed under: Elliptorhina javanica
Lineage: Eukaryota; Metazoa; Arthropoda; Insecta; Blattodea; Blaberidae
Description: tRNA-Asp
Source: RNAcentral
GAAGAAUUAGUUAAAUAAGAAUAACAUUAGAAUGUCAAUCUAAAAUUAUCCAAUAGAUACUCUUCU